This 740-nucleotide ribosomal RNA is filed under the name uncultured bacterium. RNAcentral describes it as "bacterial SSU rRNA". It matches the Rfam family "Bacterial small subunit ribosomal RNA", at positions 807 to 1533 of the family's 1533-position model. The record is from RNAcentral.
CGAUGUCGACUAGCCGUUGGGAUCCCUGAGAUCUUAGUGGCGCAGCUAACGCGAUAAGUCGACCGCCUGGGGAGUACGGCCGCAAGGUUAAAACUCAAAUGAAUUGACGGGGGCCCGCACAAGCGGUGGAGCAUGUGUUNAAUUCGAAGCAACGCGAAGAACCUUACCUGGCCUUGACAUGUCCGGAACCUUGCAGAGAUGCGAGGGUGCCUUCGGGAAUCGGAACACAGGUGCUGCAUGGCUGUCGUCAGCUCGUGUCGUGAGAUGUUGGGUUAAGUCCCGUAACGAGCGCAACCCUUGUCCUUAGUUACCAGCACCUCGGGUGGGCACUCUAAGGAGACUGCCGGUGACAAACCGGAGGAAGGUGGGGAUGACGUCAAGUCCUCAUGGCCCUUACGGGUUGGGCUACACACGUGCUACAAUGGCGGCGACAAUGGGCAGCGAAGGGGCGACCCGGUGCAAAUCCCAAAAAGCCGUCUCAGUUCGGAUUGUACUCUGCAACUCGAGUGCAUGAAGGUGGAAUCGCUAGUAAUCGCGUAACAGCAUGACGCGGUGAAUACGUUCCCGGGCCUUGUACACACCGCCCGUCACACCAUGGGAGUUGGUUUUACCCGAAGCUGGUGCGCUAACCGCAAGGAGGCAGCCAACCACGGUAAGGUCAGCGACUGGGGUGAAGUCGUAACAAGGUAGCCCUAGGGGAACCUGGGGCUGGAUCACCUCCUUGAAGCUUGGAUCCCGGG